UACAUUUUUUAUAUUGUUCUCUUAUCCAUCGAGUGGACACAAAAAUAAAUUGAUGAAAAGUAAUAUUUUUUAAAAAAUGAUACUAGAAGUUUUGUUGGAAUACUAUCGAUAGUACCAAGCGUUUGGUGCUAUCAAGUUUUUCGCCAUUAGAUUUAACCCUUUAACUAUUUUCACCCGUUAGAUUAUACUAUUAAACCAACAACUCACUUAACCCUAUAGGGCCCACAUCAUCCUAACGGUAUAUUUUUUCAUCCAACGGUAUGUUUUUUUAUCCAAGAGCCGAAAAUCUAAUAGCACCAAUAGGUUGGUGCUAUUGAUAGUAUUCCAGCCGAGAUCUAUAUAUGGCUGAGGUGCUUCUAAUAGCACCAAUGGCUGGGGUGCUUCUAAUAGCACCAAGCAUUUGGUGCUACCAAUUUUCCACCGUUAAAUUUAUCUUUAUGACCAUUUAUCUCUGUUAUAUCAUACUAUUCAACCAACCAAUUAUUCAACCCUCUUAAUCUCUUAUGUCUCAUCUCUUUUUUUUUUUAGAGAGAUAGAUAGCAUGUUACCCGCUUCGUUUAUUUCACUUAGAAAUAAACUUAGUUAGAAAUGUGAAUCAACUAGGAUUUAAAUUUGAGAUCUCUAAUACCAACCAUCAAACCCUUUGCCAUCAAGUUCUUUGUCUCAUCCUUUUAAGUAGCAUCAA
Molecule: long non-coding RNA, 685 nt
Filed under: Ananas comosus (pineapple)
Lineage: Eukaryota; Viridiplantae; Streptophyta; Magnoliopsida; Poales; Bromeliaceae
Description: long non-coding RNA (ACOM_LNC041085)
Source: RNAcentral